CCACCGGAGCUUGCUCCACCGGAAAAAGAAGAGUGGCGAACGGGUGAGUAACACGUGGGUAACCUGCCCAUCAGAAGGGGAUAACACUUGGAAACAGGUGCUAAUACCGUAUAACAAUCGAAACCGCAUGGUUUUGAUUUGAAAGGCGCUUUCGGGUGUCGCUGAUGGAUGGACCCGCGGUGCAUUAGCUAGUUGGUGAGGUAACGGCUCACCAAGGCCACGAUGCAUAGCCGACCUGAGAGGGUGAUCGGCCACAUUGGGACUGAGACACGGCCCAAACUCCUACGGGAGGCAGCAGUAGGGAAUCUUCGGCAAUGGACGAAAGUCUGACCGAGCAACGCCGCGUGAGUGAAGAAGGUUUUCGGAUCGUAAAACUCUGUUGUUAGAGAAGAACAAGGAUGAGAGUAACUGUUCAUCCCUUGACGGUAUCUAACCAGAAAGCCACGGCUAACUACGUGCCAGCAGCCGCGGUAAUACGUAGG
RNAcentral lists this ribosomal RNA (482 nucleotides) under Colwellia ponticola. Its description in RNAcentral is "Bacterial small subunit ribosomal RNA". It matches the Rfam family "Bacterial small subunit ribosomal RNA", at positions 63 to 531 of the family's 1533-position model. The record is from Rfam by way of RNAcentral. Lineage: Bacteria; Pseudomonadati; Pseudomonadota; Gammaproteobacteria; Alteromonadales; Colwelliaceae.